This 531-nucleotide ribosomal RNA is filed under the name uncultured Entrophospora. RNAcentral describes it as "SSU rRNA". It matches the Rfam family "Eukaryotic small subunit ribosomal RNA", at positions 569 to 1093 of the family's 1831-position model. The record is from RNAcentral. Lineage: Eukaryota; Fungi; Glomeromycota; Glomeromycetes; Entrophosporales; Entrophosporaceae.
CGCAGCCGCGGUAAUUCCAGCUCCAAUAGCGUAUAUUAAAGUUGUUGCAGUUAAAAAGCUCGUAGUUGAAUUUCGGGAUUGGCGCAUCGGUCGUGCCUUACGGGGUAUGAACUGGUGCAGUCAAUUUCUCACCUCCUGGAGAACCGCGAUGUCCUUAAUUGGGUGCCGCGGGGAAACCAGGACCUUUACUUUGAAAAAAUUAGAGUGUUUAAAGCAGGCAUUUUUGCUUGAAUACAUUAGCAUGGAAUAAUAAAAUAGGACGGCAUGGUUCUAUUUUGUUGGUUCUAGGACCACCGUAAUGAUUAAUAGGGAUAGUUGGGGGCAUUAGUAUUCAAUUGUCAGAGGUGAAAUUCUUGGAUUUAUUGAAGACUAACUACUGCGAAAGCAUUUGCCAAGGAUGUUUUCAUUAAUCAAGAACGAAAGUUAGGGGAUCGAAGGCGAUCAGAUACCGUCGUAGUCUUAACCAUAAACUAUAGCCGACUAGGAAUCAGACGACGUUAAUUUUUUAAUGACUCGUUUGGCACCUUACGG